This 567-nucleotide ribosomal RNA is filed under the name Daphnia jejuana. RNAcentral's name for it is "partial small subunit ribosomal RNA". The record is from RNAcentral. Lineage: Eukaryota; Metazoa; Arthropoda; Branchiopoda; Diplostraca; Daphniidae.
AGCCGUCGCGGUUAGACGAAGAAUCUAAAUAGAACGAUUGUUCACUAGUUUACGUUGAUUUUUUAAGUAAUAUUUUCUUUUUUGUUGGGUGAAAUCAAAAUAAAAGGUGAUAACUUCUAUAAAAAUUUAAAGGAACUAUAAAACUUAGGUUAAAAACCAGGAUUAGAUACCCUGUUAUUCUAAGCUAAAUAAAAUAGGGUAGUAAAAGUUGUUCUUCAAACCCAAAGAUUUUGGCGGCACUUUAUCCAAAUAGAGGAGCUUGCCCUGUAAUCGAUAGUCCUCGUUUUAUCUUGCCCUAUCUUGUUAAGCUUGUAUACCGCCGUUGUCAGAUUACUUUUUAAGAAUGUUUUCAAGAAAUAAAAUUUUUUAACUUCAGGUCAAGGUGCAGUUUAUGGUAGGGUAGAGGUGAGCUACAUUUUUUACUAGAAAAUACGGAUUUUAAGUGUAAUUUUAAAGGAAGGUGGAUUUAUUAGUAAAUUAAUUUGAGUAUAAUUAAUUGAAUUAGGUAAUAAAGUGUGCACAUAUCGCCCGUCACUCUCUUCUUAAGAGGAGAUAAGUCGUAACAAA